RNAcentral lists this long non-coding RNA (1570 nucleotides) under Homo sapiens (human). RNAcentral's name for it is "non-protein coding lnc-GPR33-10:1". Lineage: Eukaryota; Metazoa; Chordata; Mammalia; Primates; Hominidae. The record is from RNAcentral.
AUGGGCCUACUCCUGCGGGUUCUCAUUCUCACUCCUUUACUAGCAGUGUAUUACCAUCCUCAUUUCCUGUUAUUGGCAAAAGCUCAACAAUUGCUCCAAAGCACAGAAUCCCCUUACUCCACCAAUUGCUGAUUAUGUACUAGCUCUUCCGCUAAAACACCAGGAAGAGCUUAUGCAGCCUCGCCCAGAGACUGGACAAGCAUAGAGGCAGAAUUACAUAUUUUCUAUCAGUGGGACCCUAAUCUGAAAGGGAUGUUCAAGCCUGCAAGCCUUCUUGCAAAAGUAAAGCAAGAUUUCCCUGAUAUCCACAAGGAAUCUCCCAUUUUCAGAGCCAUCUUUUCUAAUAUCACUUUAAUGGGAAUAGCCCCUAUCUGUGUUACAGGUACAUGGAAAAAUGGAAUGGAUAUAGGUGCUCUCCCCAGUACAGUUUGUAGUGUUACUCUCACUGUAGAUCCUCAUCAACAAAUUUACCGAACAUACAUCUGCAAUGAAUUUUGCCAUCAACCAAGAUUCCCAAACCUCCAACUAUUACCUUUCCUCAGGGAACUUUGCUAGAUAAGUCCAUCCAGUUUUGCCAGGGAUGCCCAACCUCAUGCAGUGCUCAAAAUUUCUGGUUUUGGCCUGCGGAUUAUAACUAAUAUCUGCAAAUUGCCAAUCUCAACUCUACAGCAGAAUGGGCUCUACUGGACCAAACUUGAAAUUCUCUAUUUUGGGAAAAUAAAACCAAGGAAACUAACCAGAGCCAAACCUGCAUCCCAUUCUCAGCAGGCAUGAGUAUGGCCACCAGCUACCUGGGUGUGUCGGUAGCCUUGGGAUUUUUUGGAGCUGUCCUCACCCCCUUAUUUUGUUUGUCCAUAUCUACUUGUCUUAAAACCGAAGGAGCCUUCUGUCUUUGUGGCCAAUCUAUUCACCAGUGCCUCCCCACUAACUGAACUGAAGUAUGCCCAGACGUCCUCAGAGUCCCUGGCAAUCUGUCUCUUCCAGUAGCAAUCCAUGGGCAUUUCAUCUUGCCCAGGAUGAGGAGGGCUAUCCAAUUAAUUCUCCUUCUCACGGGACUCGGCAUUAUAGCUGAUACAGGAACUGAAAUUGCUAGAAUUAUAAAGUCCUUUUUAAUCUAUAGCCAACUCUCAAAGGAAAUACCCAACAACAUUGAUGCCAUGGCUAAGACCUUAACAACCAUGCAAGAACAAAUAAAUUAUUUAGCAGCUAUAGUCCUCCAAAAAUCAUCAAGGGCUAGACAGGUUAAUGGCAGCACAGGGAGGAAUUUGUUUAGCCUCAGAUGAAAAAUGUUGCUUUUAGGUAAAACAAUCAAGAAACGUACAAGGCAACAUCACACAACUCCCAAAUCCAAUUUACGGGAACAAGCCUCUCAGGGUUCGUUAAAUUGGGAAGGAAACUAGAAAUGGUUCAACUGGGUUCUUCCCUUUUUAGGCCUACUUGUUAGUCUCCUACUUUUGCUCCUUUUUGGUCCAUGUCUUUUAAAUCUAAUAACCCGAUUUAUCUCCUCUCAUGUUCAGGCCAUCAAGCUCCAGAUGAUCCUCAGUGAGGGAUACCGUCCUCUCAAUUUUCA